Molecule: long non-coding RNA, 575 nt
Filed under: Parus major (Great Tit)
Lineage: Eukaryota; Metazoa; Chordata; Aves; Passeriformes; Paridae
Description: lncRNA (ENSPMJG00000004100.1)
Source: RNAcentral
AUGGGACACUGGGAUGGGAUACUGGGAUGGGAUACUGGGAUGGGAUACUGGGAUGGGAUACUGGGAUGGGAUACUGGGAUGGGAUGGGACACUGGGAUGGGACACUGGGAUGGGACACUGGGAUGGGACACUGGGACACUGGGAUGGGACACUGGGAUACUGGGAUGGGACAGGGAUGGGACACUGGGAUGGGACACUGGGACACUGGGAUGGGACACUGGGACACUGGGAUGGGACACUGGGAUGGGAUACUGGGAUGGGAUGGGACACUGGGAUGGGAUACUGGGAUGGGAUGGGACACUGGGAUGGGAUACCGGGAUACUGGGAUGGGACACUGGGAUGGGACACUGGGAUGGGACACUGGGAAGGGAUACUGGGAUGGGAUGGGACACUGGGAUGGGACACAGGGAUGGGACACAGGGAUGGGACACUGGGAUGAGACACUGGGACGGGACACAGGGAUGGGAUACUGGGACACUGGGAUGGGACACUGGGACACUGGGAUGGGACACUGGGAUGGGACACUGGGAUGGGACACUGGGAUACUGGGAUGGGACAGGGAUGGGACACUGGGA